Molecule: ribosomal RNA, 488 nt
Filed under: uncultured Leucobacter sp.
Lineage: Bacteria; Bacillati; Actinomycetota; Actinomycetes; Micrococcales; Microbacteriaceae
Description: bacterial SSU rRNA
Rfam family: Bacterial small subunit ribosomal RNA
Source: RNAcentral
AGAGUUUUGAUCCUGGUCAGGACGAACGCUGGCGGCGUGCUUAACACAUGCAAGUCGAACGAUGAAGCCUAGCUUGCUGGGUGGAAGAGUGGCGAACGGGUGAGUAACACGUGAGUAACCUGCCUAUCACUCUGGGAUAAGCGCUGGAAACGGCGUCUAAUACUGGAUAUGUCCCAUCACCGCAUGGUGUGUGGGUGGAAAGAUUUAUCGGUGGUAGAUGGACUCGCGGCCUAUCAGCUUGUUGGUGAGGUAAUGGCUCACCCAAGGCGACGACGGGUAGCCGGCCUGAGAGGGUGACCGGCCACACUGGGACUGAGACACGGCCCAGACUCCUACGGGAGGCAGCAGUGGGGAAUAUUGCACAAUGGGCGCAAGCCUGGUGCAGCAACGCCGCGUGAGGGAUGACGGCCUUCGGGUUGUAAACCUCUUUUAGUAGGGAAGAAGCGAAAGUGACGGUACCUGCAGAAAAAGCACCGGCUAACUACGUG